Non-coding RNA from Vicugna pacos (alpaca), 525 nucleotides. Lineage: Eukaryota; Metazoa; Chordata; Mammalia; Artiodactyla; Camelidae. The record is from RefSeq and is a predicted model, not a curated record.
ACCUGUAGCUAGAUCUCCCUCCUAACCCAUUUCCUCUUCUCAAAGAGAGAUCAGUGGUGGUAAUGAAAUGUUGCGACUCUCAAUUUGACAGCCCAUGCGACUAUCUUCACCACUACUUAGUUACCUGUAGAGCAACAUUUCCAGGCCGGAAGUACACACUUGAAUGAUCGUUCUGAAAAUGAGAAAGAAAAACCCCACACUUUGAUGCACAGGUUACUGAAGCCAAUGAAACUACAUUGCUAAAGAAGUCAUGAUGUCCAGGAUCCAUGAUACUUAAGAUCAGAGAUGAGAACAGAGAUAUUGCUGGUACUGUUCUGUGACUCCCUUAUACUGUGUAACAAAGUCUCCCCAAAUCUUAGCAGCUUCCAGAAAUUUCCUGCUUGCUUGCGUUACCUAAGAGUUGAUGGUCAGCUGGGAUUCUGAGGAGCUUGGCGAGGCUUGGCCAGGUUGCUAGAUUAAACACAUCUUCUCAUGUUGGAGCCAAGCUGAAGGAAUAGCUACUCUCUGGACAAGUGAUGCUCUUGG